UAUCUGUUGCCAUCAGUUUCUGGACAAUGC
Molecule: non-coding RNA, 30 nt
Filed under: Mus musculus (house mouse)
Lineage: Eukaryota; Metazoa; Chordata; Mammalia; Rodentia; Muridae
Source: RNAcentral